CACGCCGUAAACGAUGGAUACUAGCUGUUGGGCGCAAGUUCAGUGGCUAAGCGAAAGUGAUAAGUAUCCCACCUGGGGAGUACGUUCGCAAGAAUGAAACUCAAAGGAAUUGACGGGGGCCCGCACAAGCGGUGGAGCAUGUGGUUUAAUUCGAUGAUACGCGAGGAACCUUACCAAGGCUUAAAUGUAGAUUGACCGGACUGGAAACAGUUUUUUCGCAAGACAAUUUACAAGGUGC
This 238-nucleotide ribosomal RNA is filed under the name uncultured bacterium. Its description in RNAcentral is "partial 16S ribosomal RNA". It matches the Rfam family "Bacterial small subunit ribosomal RNA", at positions 796 to 1041 of the family's 1533-position model. The record is from RNAcentral.